This 253-nucleotide ribosomal RNA is filed under the name uncultured bacterium. RNAcentral describes it as "partial 16S ribosomal RNA". It matches the Rfam family "Bacterial small subunit ribosomal RNA", at positions 524 to 776 of the family's 1533-position model. The record is from RNAcentral.
UACGAAGGGGGCUAGCGUUGCUCGGAAUCACUGGGCGUAAAGGGUGCGUAGGCGGGGCUUUAAGUCAGGGGUGAAAUCCUGGAGCUCAACUCCAGAACUGCCUUUGAUACUGAGGAUCUUGAGUUCGGGAGAGGUGAGUGGAACUGCGAGUGUAGAGGUGAAAUUCGUAGAUAUUCGGAAGAACACCAGUGGCGAAGGCGACUCACUGGACACGUAUUGACGCUGAGGUGCGAAAGCGUGGGGAGCAAACAGG